This 495-nucleotide ribosomal RNA is filed under the name Triticum aestivum (bread wheat). Its description in RNAcentral is "partial small subunit ribosomal RNA". Lineage: Eukaryota; Viridiplantae; Streptophyta; Magnoliopsida; Poales; Poaceae. The record is from RNAcentral.
AUGCUCACAAUCUCUCCCGGGGUGUCUCACGCACUCUCUCUCUCUCUCUCUCUCUCUCUUUCUGACUACUAUGUACCACUCUUUUCACUAAUCUCAGUUGAAAAACACUAUUUCUCUCACAUGCAUAUAUACACAUGCACGGUCUCUAAUAGCCCUCUAUACACACAUAUAUGUGCCUACAUAUCUCUCGCACGCACAUUAUUUUUAGGCCUCUCUCGCACACAAUGCCCCCCCAGACACACCUCUCUCUUAGUAGUUGGCAGAUAUGAUUCCAUCAGAUCAUUCGGUAGGAUAUCCCUGACUGUUAGGCUGGAUGGUAAUACGAGGCAAAGUUUUACCCAAGUUCGGACCCUUGCAGUUGAGGAAAAAGCCUAUUGUUGGUACUAUAUUAAUGAUAGGGGUGUGUACAAAGUACACAUGAAUACCAGGCAUUGUGCGUGUGUGUAUACUAUCGACGAACUAGCCCCAUGCUUCUAUAACAUACUCGGGGCCUAG